Molecule: long non-coding RNA, 639 nt
Organism: Cannabis sativa
Lineage: Eukaryota; Viridiplantae; Streptophyta; Magnoliopsida; Rosales; Cannabaceae
Exons: 2
Source: RefSeq, a predicted model, not a curated record
GCGAUAAGACAUUUUGAAUAGUCAAUAGUAGCAAUUUGUUGAUUUAUUUUAAUUUAAUUUUUGUGAAUUGAGUACAUUUAUAGUUUGUCUAUAAAAAGGAGGAAGAUGUGUAGGAGCUAAUAACAUACAUACAUAUACCAAAAUAACAAGAUGAAGUCUUUUCUUAUAAUACUAAUUACAGUUUUGCUGUCAUCUGUUCUCUUCUUCCCAUCUCCAUUGGUCCAUGCUCGACAAUUAGUAGAGAAAGGUUCAGUAGGUGGAGGAGCGAAAGAUCCUAGCAAACCAGCUUGUAGGAUCGGCCCCGGCGGCCGCUACGUAUGCAACCCAGCGCCGCCUUGUAAUAACCCUUACAAGCGAAAUUGCAUAAAGAACUAAUGAAUAUCCCAACGUGGUCGAGUCGAGACACUUAAUUAUAUGCUUGGACUUUUUUUAUUUAUAUGUUCAAUAAUUAUUAAGUUAUAAACCUAUAUAUAAUAAGAGGAACAUAUAUAUAUGUAAGGGCUUGAAAUUGUGGGGAAUAUAUAUAUGUUUCGGCGGGUCUCGAUCGUCUAUAUAAUAUGAUCAUGAUUAUUGGUAAGUGUACGUUAUUGAUGUGUUAAUUAAGAUCAUCAAUUAUAUAGUAAGUUUUCUUUUGAUAUA